GAUGGGGAUGCGUUCCAUUAGUUAGUUGGCGGGGUAACGGCCCACCAAGACGACGAUGGAUAGGGGUUCUGAGAGGAAGGUCCCCCACAUUGGAACUGAGACACGGUCCAAACUCCUACGGGAGGCAGCAGUGAGGAAUAUUGGUCAAUGGACGAGAGUCUGAACCAGCCAAGUAGCGUGAAGGAUGACUGCCCUAUGGGUUGUAAACUUCUUUUAUAUGGGAAUAAAACAGGGUAUGCAUACCCUCUUGUAUGUACCAUAUGAAUAAGGAUCGGCUAACUCCGUGCCAGCAGCCGCGGUAAUACGGAGGAUCCGAGCGUUAUCCGGAUUUAUUGGGUUUAAAGGGAGCGUAGGUGGAUUGUUAAGUCAGUUGUGAAAGUUUGCGGCUCAACCGUAAAAUUGCAGUUGAAACUGGCAGUCUUGAGUACAGUAGAGGUGGGCGGAAUUCGUGGUGUAGCGGUGAAAUGCUUAGAUAUCACGAAGAACUCCGAUUGCGAAGGCAGCUCACUGGACUGCAACUGACACUGAUGCUCGAAAGUGUGGGUAUCAAACAGGAUUAGAUACCCUGGUAGUCCACACAGUAAACGAUGAAUACUCGCUGUUUGCGAUAUACAGUAA
Molecule: ribosomal RNA, 618 nt
Filed under: uncultured bacterium
Lineage: Bacteria
Description: bacterial SSU rRNA
Rfam family: Bacterial small subunit ribosomal RNA
Source: RNAcentral